This 131-nucleotide small RNA is filed under the name Flavobacterium branchiophilum. Its description in RNAcentral is "Flavo-1 RNA". The record is from RNAcentral. Lineage: Bacteria; Pseudomonadati; Bacteroidota; Flavobacteriia; Flavobacteriales; Flavobacteriaceae.
CUAUUGCGUUAGGGAUAGCAAUGGAAAUCCUUUUUUGAGGCUUUUUUCGGCCUCAAAAAAGAUUAUUUCACAAUAUUAUAUUUCUUUUGGAGUUCAAUGAACGUUGUUUGAAACGGAUAGCCCGACCCUUG